GAUGAACGCUAGCUACAGGCUUAACACAUGCAAGUCGCGGGGCAGCAUUUUCUUAGCUUGCUAAGGAAGAUGGCGACCGGCGCACGGGUGAGUAACGCGUAUCCAACCUUCCCAUGUCCACGGGAUAGCCCGUCGAAAGGCGGAUUAAUACCGUAUGAGGUCACAUGCGGGCAUCUAAGUGUGACGAAAGGUUUAGCGGACAUGGAUGGGGAUGCGUCUGAUUAGCUUGUUGGCGGGGUAACGGCCCACCAAGGCAACGAUCAGUAGGGGUUCUGAGAGGAAGGUCCCCCCACAUUGGAACUGAGACACGGUCCAAACUCCUACGGGAGGCAGCAGUGAGGAAUAUUGGUCAAUGGGCGAGAGCCUGAACCAGCCAAGUAGCGUGCAGGACGACGGCCCUAUGGGUUGUAAACUGCUUUUAUAAGGGAAUAAAGUGGGUCUCGUGAGACUUUUUGCAUGUACCUUAUGAAUAAGGACCGGCUAAUUCCGUG
Molecule: ribosomal RNA, 491 nt
Filed under: uncultured bacterium
Lineage: Bacteria
Description: bacterial SSU rRNA
Rfam family: Bacterial small subunit ribosomal RNA
Source: RNAcentral